GGGAGGCAGCAGUGGGGAAUAUUGGACAAUGGGGGCAACCCUGAUCCAGCGACGCCGCGUGGGUGAAGAAGGCCUGCGGGUUGUAAAGCCCUUUCGGUUGGGAAGAAAAGUUGCGACCUAACACGUCGCGACCUUGACGUAACCAACUAAAGAAGCACCGGCUAACUCUGUGCCAGCAGCCGCGGUAAUACAGAGGGUGCGAGCGUUAAUCGGAAUUACUGGGCGUAAAGCGCGCGUAGGCGGCUUUGUAAGUCGGUUGUGAAAUCCCCGGGCUUAACCUGGGAACUGCAUCCGAGACUGCCAAGCUAGAGUAUGGGAGAGGGAAGUGGAAUUUCAGGUGUAGCGGUGAAAUGCGUAGAUAUCUGAAGGAACAUCAGUGGCGAAAGCGACUUCCUGGACCAAUACUGACGCUCAUGUGCGAAAGCGUGGGGAGCAAACAGGAUUAGAUACCCUGGUAGUCCACGCCAUAAACGAUG
RNAcentral lists this ribosomal RNA (476 nucleotides) under uncultured Gammaproteobacteria bacterium. RNAcentral's name for it is "bacterial SSU rRNA". It matches the Rfam family "Bacterial small subunit ribosomal RNA", at positions 343 to 811 of the family's 1533-position model. Lineage: Bacteria; Pseudomonadati; Pseudomonadota; Gammaproteobacteria. The record is from RNAcentral.